This 1000-nucleotide ribosomal RNA is filed under the name Lecania fructigena. Its description in RNAcentral is "SSU rRNA". It matches the Rfam family "Bacterial small subunit ribosomal RNA", at positions 165 to 1161 of the family's 1533-position model. Lineage: Eukaryota; Fungi; Ascomycota; Lecanoromycetes; Lecanorales; Ramalinaceae. The record is from RNAcentral.
GAUCCCUUAUAAUCUUUUAUAACAAAUAAAUAAAAAGGAAAAUAUAUAUAAAAGGAAAGAAACAUAAGUUUUGCUCUUAGAAGCCUAUAUCUCGUGUAUUGUAGUAGUUAAGGUAAAAGCUUAACUAGCUUUAUAUGCGUAGUCGUAACUGAGAGGUUAAUCGACCACAGUGGGCCUGAACAAAGCCCACGAUGAAUAUUACAGCAGUGAGGAAUAUUGGUCAAUAGUCUAACGACUGAACCAGCAACUUGGAGGAAUGAAUAGCGACAGCUAAUUGCAUAAUAGUAUAAUGCAAUAUCAACUACGUUGAAUAAAAUUCUGGGUAAAACUCUGAUGAUGACAUUGUUUACUCAUGUGUCUUGACCAAAUUACGUGCCAGCAGUCGCGGUAAUACGUAGAAGACUAGUGUUAUUCAUCUUUAUUUGGUUUAAAGGGUACCUAGACGGUAAAUCAAGCCCUUGUAUAACAAGAUGGGACUAAUUUACUAGAGUUACUUACAAGGAGGCUAUAAAGUACUAAUGGUGUAGAGAUGAAAUUUUGUAAUACCAAUUCUCUAAGGAGAAGUUAUGGCACUGAUAAAGGCGAAAGCAUCCUCUUAUGUGAUAACUGACGUUGAGGGACGAAGGCUUUGGGUCGCGAAUAGGAUUAGAUACCCUAGUAGUCUAAGCAGACAAUGAUGAGUGUCAUAGAUUAGAUUUUUUAAGUUUAUUCUAUAAAUGAAAGUGUAAGCACUCCACCUCAAGAGUAAUAUGGCAACAUAGGAACUGAAAUCAUUAGACCGUUUCUGAAACCAGUAGUGAAGUAUGUUGUUUAAUUUGAUGAUCCGCAAAACACCUUACCACAACUUGAAUAUAAAUAAUCCCUAAAAAGGAUGUUUUUACAAGCGUUGCACGGCUGUCUACAGUUAAUGUCGUGAGACUUUGGUUAGAUCCAUUAAAUUAACGUAAACCCCUACUUUAUUUUUAAAUAAAGUUGUUCCCCACUAUAUUGGAUAUGAUAA